GAGGCCACUUUGUGUGGCUCCCCGGGCCUUCGAAGCGGUGGUGAUGUUUAUGCUCGGAGCCAGUGCUUCUUUAAUUCUUUAUGUUUAAUGAACAUGUCAACUUGCAAGAUAAAUCAUGAAAAUUUUGAUUUAGAAGAAACCCUUUGUCUGGAAUACAUUUGUCCCAGAUAUCUUCAUUGUCUGCUCCCUGUUAGAAUGAAGAUACCCACAUAUUUAAAAAUUUGCCACAAACAAUUUCUUAACUUUUUUAUUUGGGAUACUUUGGAUAUAAGCUAUCCGCAAGUGGAGAGAAAAGCUUAAGAAAUCUGAAAGAAGUACCCAUCACUCAGCUCACCAGGUAUACUUGAGACCAAACAACAAAGAACCUAUAAGCUGGCCUCGGAAGACACUCUGGAUCAUCUGGAAAAGAUUCCACUUCAGCAGAUUACAGCCAUCUGCUGAAGUCUUGGAGAUAGUUCCUGAAGAACUGCUAGGAGCACAAGGUAUACUGUACUCAGAGUGAGUUAGCAGGAAGUUUUCAAUUUCACUGCCAGCCCCGUUGUGAUUCAGAGAAGGACUGUGGUGGGAAGUGCCCAAACAGAACUGAAGAAGCAUUGCUGUCUCCUCUAGGGAGAGGAGCCAUCCUCCUCACCGAUGGCUGAAGGGCAAAGAACCUGAAAGAUCCCAGUGAAUUCUCAUAUUUUAAUACCUAUAAUAACAUGAUGGCCAAUAUUUACAUAAUGGUGUAAACCUUUUAUAACACUGUUGCACAUCAUACUCUUUUAGGAAUACUAUGGGUUAUGAUGAUAGAUUUGAGUUUGA
Long non-coding RNA from Manis pentadactyla (Chinese pangolin), 801 nucleotides. RefSeq lists it as uncharacterized. The record is from RefSeq and is a predicted model, not a curated record. The transcript is spliced from 4 exons. Lineage: Eukaryota; Metazoa; Chordata; Mammalia; Pholidota; Manidae.